Molecule: non-coding RNA, 130 nt
Organism: Picea glauca (white spruce)
Lineage: Eukaryota; Viridiplantae; Streptophyta; Pinopsida; Pinales; Pinaceae
Source: Rfam
UCUUAUGUACAUUCCUACAACAUAGCUUUAAUGCAUCAGAUCCCAUUAGAACUCCAUAGUUAAGCGCACUUGGGCUAGAGUAGUACUAGGAUGGGUGAUCUUGUUAGGGACCUAACCCCUCACUUAGGUA